UUAGAGUUUGAUCCUGGCUCAAGAUGAACUUUAGCGGCAGGCUUAACACAUGCAAGUCGAGGGGCAGCAUGUCCAGCAAUGGAUGAUGGCGACCGGCGGAAGGGUGCGUAACGCGUGAGCAACAUGCCCUAUACAGGGGAGAUACACCAGGGAAACUUGGUCUAAUAUCCCAUAGCAUUCAUUGAAGGCAUCUUUAAUGAAUUAAAGCUUCGGUGGUAUAGGAUUGGCUCGCGUGACAUUAGCCAGAUGGUGAGGUAACGGCUCACCAUAGCAAUGAUGUCUAGGGGUUUUGAGAGGAAGGCCCCCCACACUGGGACUGAGACACGGCCCAGACUCCUACGGGAGGCAGCAGUGAGGAAUAUUGGACAAUGGAUGGAAAUCUGAUCCAGCCAUGCCGCGUGCAGGAAGACGGCCUUAUGGGUUGUAAACUGCUUUUAUACGGGAGCAAUAAGGGUUACGAGUAAUCCGAUGAGAGUACUGUAUGAAUAAGGAUCGGCUAACUCCGUGCCAGCAGCCGCGGUAAUACGGAGGAUCCGAGCGUUAUCCGGAAUUAUUGGGUUUAAAGGGUGCGUAGGCGGCCAUUUAAGUCAGCGGUGAAAUUUUGCAGCUUAACUGUAACAGUGCCGUCGAUACUGUUUGGCUAGGAUUUGGUUGUAGUGUGCGGAAUGUGUGGUGUAGCGGUGAAAUGCUUAGAUAUCACACAGAACACCGAUUGCGAAGGCAGCACACUAAGUCAUUAUUGACGCUGAGGCACGAAAGUGUGGGGAUCAAACAAGAUUAGAUACCCUGGUAGUCCACACUGUAA
RNAcentral lists this ribosomal RNA (805 nucleotides) under uncultured bacterium. RNAcentral's name for it is "bacterial SSU rRNA". It matches the Rfam family "Bacterial small subunit ribosomal RNA", at positions 1 to 805 of the family's 1533-position model. The record is from RNAcentral.